Molecule: ribosomal RNA, 253 nt
Filed under: uncultured bacterium
Lineage: Bacteria
Description: partial 16S ribosomal RNA
Rfam family: Bacterial small subunit ribosomal RNA
Source: RNAcentral
UACGUAGGGGGCUAGCGUUGUCCGGAAUCAUUGGGCGUAAAGAGCGCGUAGGCGGCUAGAUAAGUCCGGUGUGAAAGUCACAGGCUCAACCUGUGAAUGCCGCUGGAAACUGUCUGGCUAGAGUCCGGAAGGGGCGAGUGGAAUUCCUGGUGUAGCGGUGAAAUGCGCAGAUAUCAGGAGGAACACCAAUGGCGAAGGCAGCUCGCUGGGACGUUACUGACGCUGAGACGCGAAAGCGUGGGGAGCAAACAGG